GGCGUGUUCGGCUAAGGGCCAGGCCGGGAGGCUUUCAAUCUCCAGAUACGGGUUCGAGUCCCGUACACGCUA
Molecule: transfer RNA, 72 nt
Filed under: Acidobacteriota bacterium
Lineage: Bacteria; Pseudomonadati; Acidobacteriota
Also listed under: 1 other name
Description: Acidobacteria bacterium tRNA-Glu
Rfam family: tRNA
About the family: Transfer RNA (tRNA) molecules are approximately 80 nucleotides in length. Their secondary structure includes four short double-helical elements and three loops (D, anti-codon, and T loops). Further hydrogen bonds mediate the characteristic L-shaped molecular structure. tRNAs have two regions of fundamental functional importance: the anti-codon, which is responsible for specific mRNA codon recognition, and the 3' end, to which the tRNAs corresponding amino acid is attached (by aminoacyl-tRNA synthetases). tRNAs cope with the degeneracy of the genetic code in two manners: having more than one tRNA (with a specific anti-codon) for a particular amino acid; and 'wobble' base-pairing, i.e. permitting non-standard base-pairing at the 3rd anti-codon position.
Source: RNAcentral